UGGCCGUAAACGAUGUGGACUUGGUGUUGGAAUGGCUCCGAGCUGCUCCAGUGCCGAAGGGAAGCUGUUAAGUCCACCGCCUGGGAGGUACGGUCGCAAGACUGAAACUUAAAGGAUUGGCGGGGGAGCACCACAACGCGUGGAGCCUGCGGUUUAAUUGGAUUCAACGCCGGACAUCUCACCAGGGGGCGACAGCAGAAUGAUGGCCAGGUUGAUGACCUUGCUUGACAAGCUGAGAGGAGGUGCAUGGCGUGUGACUGU
Molecule: ribosomal RNA, 261 nt
Filed under: uncultured archaeon
Lineage: Archaea
Description: partial 16S ribosomal RNA
Rfam family: Archaeal small subunit ribosomal RNA
Source: RNAcentral